CAAUAGCGUAUGUUAAAGUUGUUGCAGUUAAAAAGCUCGUAGUUGAAUUUUUGCUUGCCGCCGAUGUCGGAACUUCCGUACGUUCGGCGGCGUGCAUCCUUGGGUGGAACCUGUGUGGCAUUAGGUUGUCGUGCAGGGGAUGCUCAUCGUUUACUGUGAAAAAAUUAGAGUGUUCAAAGCAGGCUUACGCCGUUGAAUAUAUUAGCAUGGAAUAAUAAGAUAGGACCUUGGUACUAUUUUGUUGGUUUGCGCACCGAGGUAAUGAUUAACAGGGACAGUUGGGGGUAUUCGUAUUCCAUUGUCAGAGGUGAAAUUCUUGGAUUUCUGGAAGACGAACUACUGCGAAAGCAUUUACCAAGGAUGUUUUCAUUA
RNAcentral lists this ribosomal RNA (372 nucleotides) under uncultured eukaryote. Its description in RNAcentral is "partial 18S ribosomal RNA". It matches the Rfam family "Eukaryotic small subunit ribosomal RNA", at positions 592 to 975 of the family's 1831-position model. The record is from RNAcentral.